GUAAGCACUGCAGGGGGAGGGCUCCAGGAAGCAGCUCCCCUGUCCUCCCGCGCAAUGCUGUGUGGUAACGCGCGGCAACGCUCCACACAGCAUCGCGCGGGAGGACAGGGGAGCGGCUUCCUGGAGCCCUCCCCCUGCCUCCC
Molecule: non-coding RNA, 143 nt
Organism: Pelobates cultripes (western spadefoot toad)
Lineage: Eukaryota; Metazoa; Chordata; Amphibia; Anura; Pelobatidae
Source: the annotation of a GenBank genome assembly